CUGUCCGACUGGUGGCGCUCGGCGCGCCGGAGCACGCCCAAGCCAAUGAAAAAGGGCCUUACCACCGCUACUCUGCUGAUCCCUUGGAUUACCUGGAAGCAUCGCAAUGACUGUGUGUUCAACGGCGCGACCCCUUCGACCAACUUGCUGAUCGCACAGAUCAAGGAUGCAGCUACGCUCCGGGCAAGAGUGGGAGCCCGUGGCCUGCGUGCCAUCCUACCACAAACCUGGGACGUACACUGA
RNAcentral lists this ribosomal RNA (243 nucleotides) under Triticum aestivum (bread wheat). RNAcentral describes it as "partial small subunit ribosomal RNA". Lineage: Eukaryota; Viridiplantae; Streptophyta; Magnoliopsida; Poales; Poaceae. The record is from RNAcentral.